RNAcentral lists this ribosomal RNA (33 nucleotides) under Paenibacillus sp. VMFN-D1. RNAcentral describes it as "partial 16S ribosomal RNA". Lineage: Bacteria; Bacillati; Bacillota; Bacilli; Caryophanales; Paenibacillaceae. The record is from RNAcentral.
CUUUCUUGGAGAGUUUGAUCCUGGCUCAGGACG